UCUUCAUUUGUCGUACUCUCUCAUCGGACAGAGUGACGAGAGAGUACGUGAAAUGAGGAGA
Molecule: microRNA precursor, 61 nt
Filed under: Pristionchus pacificus
Lineage: Eukaryota; Metazoa; Nematoda; Chromadorea; Rhabditida; Neodiplogasteridae
Description: microRNA ppc-mir-8364e precursor
Rfam family: mir-8364 microRNA precursor family
Source: miRBase by way of RNAcentral